This 526-nucleotide long non-coding RNA is filed under the name Helianthus annuus (common sunflower). RNAcentral describes it as "hypothetical non coding rna". The record is from RNAcentral. Lineage: Eukaryota; Viridiplantae; Streptophyta; Magnoliopsida; Asterales; Asteraceae.
AAUUGAACCAUCAUGGGUGCACUCUGCAUCCACUAGUACCUAUUUUCAAUUUUCAAACACAAACUUUAGGUUAAACCAAAAGAGAAACUCCGAAAACAAAAAAAACAAGAGUUGAAACAGUUUUAAACAAAUCGGUUUUACACAAUCCAACAACCCCAGAACCACCACUUCAAACCCUAACCAAACCCCAACCUGCAAAUCAGUGGCCGUUAAAGUCUUUUGUGCCAAUCAGGAAACAAGCCCAGAUCUCUCUCGCUACCAGCAUCUCUUGCUACCAAAAUCCAUCUUAGUGUUUUAAAUCCCUGAUCCUCAAUAUUAACUGUUUCGACGGUUGGAAUGUUACAGAUCUUGUUAUAACGAUUUAGAGAGAGAGAGAGAGAGAGUUUAAGGAAGAGAGAGAGAUGGCGGCUAAUGGUGGUGGUGUUGCUCACUAGGUGGAGGUGGAGAAAGAAACAGAGAGAUGAGAGAAAGAGAUAGAAGGGAAGGUGGGGGUGGGACGGGGUAUUUGUACCACAUUUAUAAUUGA